RNAcentral lists this ribosomal RNA (289 nucleotides) under Ulva prolifera. RNAcentral's name for it is "partial 18S ribosomal RNA". It matches the Rfam family "Eukaryotic small subunit ribosomal RNA", at positions 1546 to 1831 of the family's 1831-position model. Lineage: Eukaryota; Viridiplantae; Chlorophyta; Ulvophyceae; Ulvales; Ulvaceae. The record is from RNAcentral.
UUUUUCUUUUGAAAACACGAUCGUGAUGGAGAUAGAACAUUGCAAUUAUUGUUCUUCAACGAGGAAUGCCUAGUAAGCGCGAGUCAUCAUCUCGCGUUGAUUACGUCCCUGCCCUUUGUACACACCGCCCGUCGCUCCUACCGAUUGAACGUGCUGGUGAAGCGUUAGGACUGGAACUUUGGGCCGGUUUCCCUGCCCAUCGUUUCGGGAAUUUCGUUGAACCCUCCCGUUUAGAGGAAGGAGAAGUCGUAACAAGGUCUCCGUAGGUGAACCUGCGGAGGGAUCAUUG